Molecule: non-coding RNA, 85 nt
Organism: Ornithorhynchus anatinus (platypus)
Lineage: Eukaryota; Metazoa; Chordata; Mammalia; Monotremata; Ornithorhynchidae
Product: microRNA mir-1421ag-1
Exons: 1
Source: RefSeq, marked provisional
UACGGCACAGUUUGAGGUGGACACGUGGUGCAGUAUGAUAGUGGAAUAAGCUGCAUCACGUGUGACCUCCAUACACCGUGCUGUA